AUACGUAGGGAGCAAGCGUUAUCCGGAUUUACUGGGUGUAAAGGGCGUGUAGGCGGGAGUGCAAGUCAGAUGUGAAAACUAUGGGCUCAACCCAUAGCCUGCAUUUGAAACUGUACUUCUUGAGUACUGGGGAGGCAGGCGGAAUUCCGUGUGUAGCGGUGAAAUGCGUAGAUAUACGGAGGAACACCAGUGGCGAAGGCGGCCUGCUGGACAGCAACUGACGCUGAGGCGCGAAAGCGUGGGGAGCAAACAGGAUUAGAUGCCCUGGUAGUCCACGCUGUAAACGAUGGAUACUAGGUGUGGGGGGACUGACCCCCUCCGUGCCGCAGUUAACACAAUAAGUAUCCCACCUGGGGAGUACGAUCGCAAGGUUGAAACUCAAAUGAAUUGACGGGG
This 396-nucleotide ribosomal RNA is filed under the name uncultured bacterium. RNAcentral describes it as "partial 16S ribosomal RNA". It matches the Rfam family "Bacterial small subunit ribosomal RNA", at positions 523 to 918 of the family's 1533-position model. The record is from RNAcentral.